UACGUAGGGGGCUAGCGUUGUCCGGAUUUAUUGGGCGUAAAGAGCGUGUAGGCGGCCAGGUAGGUCUGCUGUGAAAACUCGAGGCUCAACCUCGAGACGUCGGCGGAAACCAUCUGGCUAGAGUCCGGAAGAGGAGAGUGGAAUUCCUGGUGUAGCGGUGAAAUGCGCAGAUAUCAGGAAGAACACCCGUGGCUAAGGCGGCUCUCUAGUACGUGACUGACGCUGGGACGCGAAAGCGUGGGGAGCGAACAGG
This 253-nucleotide ribosomal RNA is filed under the name uncultured bacterium. RNAcentral's name for it is "partial 16S ribosomal RNA". It matches the Rfam family "Bacterial small subunit ribosomal RNA", at positions 524 to 776 of the family's 1533-position model. The record is from RNAcentral.